RNAcentral lists this ribosomal RNA (460 nucleotides) under uncultured bacterium. Its description in RNAcentral is "partial 16S ribosomal RNA". It matches the Rfam family "Bacterial small subunit ribosomal RNA", at positions 338 to 795 of the family's 1533-position model. The record is from RNAcentral.
CCUACGGGUGGCAGCAGUGAGGAAUAGUGGUCAAGGGACGAGAGUCGGAACCAGCCAAGUAGCGUGAAGGAUGACUGCCCUAUGGGUGGUAAACUUCUUUUAUAUGGGAAUAAAAUGCUCCACGUGUGGGAUUUUGUAUGUACCAUAUGAAUAAGGAUCGGCUAACUCCGUGCCAGCAGCCGCGGUAAUACGGAGGAUCCGAGCGUUAUCCGGAUUUAUUGGGUUUAAAGGGAGCGUAGGUGGUUUGUUAAGUCAGUUGUGAAAGUUUGCGGCUCAACCGUAAAAUUGCAGUUGAAACUGGCAGUCUUGAGUACAGUAGAGGUGGGCGGAAUUCGUGGUGUAGCGGUGAAAUGCUUAGAUAUCACGAAGAACUCCGAUUGCGAAGGCAGCUCACUGGACUGCAACUGACACUGAGGCUCGAAAGUGUGGGUAUCAAACAGGAUUAGAUACCCUUGUAGUC